Molecule: long non-coding RNA, 157 nt
Organism: Pararge aegeria (speckled wood butterfly)
Lineage: Eukaryota; Metazoa; Arthropoda; Insecta; Lepidoptera; Nymphalidae
Exons: 3
Source: RefSeq, a predicted model, not a curated record
GGAGAACCGCGUGGAGGCUUGGCGCGCCUCGCUGCGCAGGGCGGACAAGGUACAUUCAGGUACAGCGCAUUCGCCGUCUACGCCGGCUUCUAAUGACAGCUGGGGCAGCGGCGGCGCGGUGGGCGUGUCGCGGCUGCGCCUCAUGUUCGGCGGCGCG